GAGUUUGAUCAUGGCUCAGAUUGAACGCUGGCGGCAUGCUUUACACAUGCAAGUCGAACGGCAGCACAAGGAGCUUGCUCCUGGGUGGCGAGUGGCGAACGGGUGAGUAAUGUAUCGGAACGUGCCUGGUAGUGGGGGAUAACCACUCGAAAGAGUGGCUAAUACCGCAUGAGAUCUCUGGAUGAAAGCGGGGGACCUUUGGGCCUCGCGCUAUCGGAGCGGCCGAUAUCAGAUUAGGUUGUUGGUGGGGUAAAGGCCUACCAAGCCUGCGAUCUGUAGCUGGUCUGAGAGGACGACCAGCCACACUGGGACUGAGACACGGCCCAGACUCCUACGGGAGGCAGCAGUGGGGAAUUUUGGACAAUGGGCGCAAGCCUGAUCCAGCAAUGCCGCGUGCAGGACGAAGGCCCUCGGGUUGUAAACUGCUUUUGUACAGAACGAAAAGUCUCUGGCUAAUAUUCCGGGGAACAUGACGGUACU
RNAcentral lists this ribosomal RNA (480 nucleotides) under Brachymonas sp. canine oral taxon 015. RNAcentral describes it as "bacterial SSU rRNA". It matches the Rfam family "Bacterial small subunit ribosomal RNA", at positions 9 to 479 of the family's 1533-position model. Lineage: Bacteria; Pseudomonadati; Pseudomonadota; Betaproteobacteria; Burkholderiales; Comamonadaceae. The record is from RNAcentral.